UACGUAGGGUGCAAGCGUUAAUCGGAAUUACUGGGCGUAAAGCGUGCGCAGGCGGUUAUGUAAGACAGAUGUGAAAUCCCCGGGCUCAACCUGGGAACUGCAUUUGUGACUGCAUAGCUAGAGUACGGUAGAGGGGGAUGGAAUUCCGCGUGUAGCAGUGAAAUGCGUAGAUAUGCGGAGGAACACCGAUGGCGGAGGCAAUCCCCUGGACCUGUACUGACGCUCAUGCACGAAAGCGUGGGGAGCAAACAGG
This 253-nucleotide ribosomal RNA is filed under the name uncultured bacterium. RNAcentral describes it as "partial 16S ribosomal RNA". It matches the Rfam family "Bacterial small subunit ribosomal RNA", at positions 524 to 776 of the family's 1533-position model. The record is from RNAcentral.